UGAGUACGAGAUGCUACGGCAUCGAAGCAGUCUAUGUCAUACUUCCAAGAAAAGCUUGCAAUGUCAUAAACAAAUAAUGCCUGUACCAUAACCGACACAGGUGGGUAGGUAGAGUAUACUAAGGGGCGCGAGAUAACUCUCUCUAAGGAACUCGGCAAAAUGACUCCGUAACUUCGGGAGAAGGAGUGCCUUAUUUUUAUAAGGUUGCAAUAACAAGAUCCAAGCAACUGUUUACCAAAAACACAGGUCUCCGCUAAGUCGUAAGACGAUGUAUGGGGGCUGACGCCUGCCCAGUGCCAGAAGGUUAAAGAAGUUGGUUAGCAUUAGCGAAGCUGAUAACUGAAGCCCUGGUGAACGGCGGCCGUAACGAUAACGGUCCUAAGGUAGCGAAAUUCCUUGUCGGGUAAGUUCCGACCCGCACGAAAGGCGUAAUGAUUUGGAUACUGUCUCGGAGAGGGGCUCGGUGAAAUAGACUUGUCUGUGAAGAUGCGGACUACCUGCACCUGGACAGAAAGACCCUAUGAAGCUUUACUGUAACUUGAGAUUGAAAUUGGACUUUAUCUGCGCAGUAUAGGUGGGAGACGUUGAAAAUAUUCUUGCGGGAAUAUUGGAGUCAUCAGUGAGAUACCACUCUUAUAAUGUUAGAUUUCUAACUUUGUAUCAUUAUCUGGUCAAAGAACAGUUUCAGGCGGGCAGUUUGACUGGGGCGGUCGCCUCCCAAACGGUAACGGAGGCGCACAAAGGUUUCCUCUGAACGUGUAGAAAUCGUAUCUAGAGUGUAAAGGCAUAAGGAAGCUUGACUGUGAGACCUACAAGUCGAGCAGGGACGAAAGUCGGUCUUAGUGAUCUGACGGUGCUGAGUGGAAAGGCCGUCACUCAACGGAUAAAAGUUACUCUAGGAUAACAGGCUUAUCUCCCCCAAGAGUUCACAUCGACGGGGAGGUUUGGCACCUCGAUGUCGGCUCAUCGCAUCCUGGGGCGGUAGUACGUCCCAAGGGUUGGGCUGUUCGCCCAUGAAAGCGGUACGCGAGCUGGGUUCAGAACGUCGUGAGACAGUUCGGUCCAUAUCCGGUGUAGGCGUUAGAAUAUUGAGAGGAGCCUUCUUUAGUACGAGAGGACCGAGAAGGACAUACCUCUGGUGUACCAGUUAUCGUGCCAACGGUAAACGCUGGGUAGCCAUGUAUGGAGAGGAUAACCGCUGAAAGCAUCUAAGUGGGAAGCCCACCUC
Molecule: ribosomal RNA, 1228 nt
Filed under: metagenome
Description: bacterial LSU rRNA
Rfam family: Bacterial large subunit ribosomal RNA
Source: RNAcentral